UCCUACGGGAGGCAGCAGUGGGGAAUAUUGCACAAUGGGGGAAACCCUGAUGCAGCCAUGCCGCGUGUGUGAAGAAGGCCUUCGGGUUGUAAAGCACUUUCAGUUGUGAGGAAAAGUUAGUAGUUAAUACCUGCUAGCCGUGACGUUAACAACAGAAGAAGCACCGGCUAACUCCGUGCCAGCAGCCGCGGUAAUACGGAGGGUGCGAGCGUUAAUCGGAAUUACUGGGCGUAAAGCGCACGCAGGCGGUUUGUUAAGCUAGAUGUGAAAGCCCCGGGCUCAACCUGGGAUGGUCAUUUAGAACUGGCAGGCUAGAGUCUUGGAGAGGGGAGUGGAAUUCCAGGUGUAGCGGUGAAAUGCGUAGAUAUCUGGAGGAACAUCAGUGGCGAAGGCGACUCCCUGGCCAAAGACUGACGCUCAUGUGCGAAAGUGUGGGUAGCGAACAGGAUUAGAUACCCUGGUAGUCCACACCGUAAACGCUGUCUACUAGCUGUGUGUGCCUUUAAGGCGUGCGUAGCGAAGCUAACGCGCUAAGUAGACCGCCUGGGGAGUACGGCCGCAAGGUUAAAACUCAAAUGAAUUGACGG
RNAcentral lists this ribosomal RNA (587 nucleotides) under uncultured bacterium. Its description in RNAcentral is "bacterial SSU rRNA". It matches the Rfam family "Bacterial small subunit ribosomal RNA", at positions 337 to 916 of the family's 1533-position model. The record is from RNAcentral.